This 419-nucleotide ribosomal RNA is filed under the name uncultured bacterium. RNAcentral's name for it is "partial 16S ribosomal RNA". It matches the Rfam family "Bacterial small subunit ribosomal RNA", at positions 338 to 755 of the family's 1533-position model. The record is from RNAcentral.
CCUACGGGUGGCAGCAGUGAGGAAUAUUGGUCAAUGGGCGGGAGCCUGAACCAGCCAAGCCGCGGGAGGGAAGAAGGUACAGCGUAUCGUAAACCUCUGUUGUCAGGGAACAAAGGCGGGGACUAGGCCCCGGAUGAGGGUACCUGAAGAAAAAGCAUCGGCUAACUCCGUGCCAGCAGCCGCGGUAAUACGGAGGAUGCGAGCGUUAUCCGGAUUUAUGGGGGUUAAAGGGUGCGCAGGCGGCCUGUUAAGUCAGCGGUAAAAGCCCGGGGCUCACCCCCGGCGAGCCGUUGAAACUGGCGGUCUGGAUUUGGCGCGCAUUACGCGGCAUGCGCGGUGUAGCGGUGAAAUGCUUAGAUCUCGCGCAGAACCCCGAUUGCGAAGGCAGCGUACCGGCUCCACACUGACGCUGAGGCACG